AGAGUUUGAUCCUGGCUCAGGACGAACGCUGGCGGCGUGCCUAACACAUGCAAGUCGAGCGAUGAAGCCCUUCGGGGUGGAUUAGCAGCGGACGGGUGAGUAACACGUGGGUAACCUGCCUCAAAGAGGGGGAUAGCCUCCCGAAAGGGAGAUUAAUACCGCAUAACAUUGGUUUUUCGCACGAAGAACUAAUUAAAGGAGUAAUCCGCUUUGAGAUGGACCCGCGGCGCAUUAGCUAGUUGGUGAGGUAACGGCUCACCAAGGCGACGAUGCGUAGCCGACCUGAGAGGGUGAUCGGCCACAUUGGAACUGAGACACGGUCCAGACUCCUACGGGAGGCAGCAGUGGGGAAUAUUGCACAAUGGGGGAAACCCUGAUGCAGCAACGCCGCGUGAGCGACGAAGGCCUUCGGGUUGUAAAGCUCUGUCUUCUCUGACGAAGUAAUGACGGUAAGAGAGGAGGAAGCCACGGCUAACUACGUGCCAGCAGCCGCGGUAAUACGUAGGUGGCAAGCGUUGUCCGGAAUUAUUGGGCGUAAAGGGUGCGUAGGUGGUCUUUUAAGUGGGAUGUGAAAUACCUGGGCUUAACUCAGGGAUUGCAUUCCAAACUGGAAGACUAGAGUGCAGGAGAGGAAAGUGGAAUUCCCAGUGUAGCGGUGAAAUGCGUAGAGAUUGGGAGGAACACCAGUGGCGAAGGCGACUUUCUGGACUGUAACUGACACUGAGGCACGAAAGCGUGGGGAGCAAACAGGAUUAGAUACCCUGGUAGUCCACGCUGUAAACUAUGAGUACUAGGUGUAGGGG
This 803-nucleotide ribosomal RNA is filed under the name uncultured bacterium. RNAcentral describes it as "bacterial SSU rRNA". It matches the Rfam family "Bacterial small subunit ribosomal RNA", at positions 8 to 828 of the family's 1533-position model. The record is from RNAcentral.